RNAcentral lists this unclassified non-coding RNA (387 nucleotides) under soil metagenome. Its description in RNAcentral is "partial contains 5.8S ribosomal RNA, internal transcribed spacer 2, and large subunit ribosomal RNA". The stretch from base 1 to 120 matches the Rfam family "5.8S ribosomal RNA", at positions 35 to 154 of the family's 154-position model. The record is from RNAcentral.
GAUGAAGAACGCAGCGAAAUGCGAUAAGUAAUGUGAAUUGCAGAUUUCAGUGAAUCAUCGAAUCUUUGAACGCACAUUGCGCCCAUUAGUAUUCUAGUGGGCAUGCCUGUUCGAGCGUCAUUAAUUCCACUUAAGCCCUGCUUAGUGUUGGGAAUCUACUCUAGUGGUGCUACCCUGGAGCUACCCCUGAAAGGGGGCUGGCCCGGUAGCUACCCUGUAGUUCCUCAAAGAUAGUGCGCGGAGUUGUGUGGUCCUCUGAGCUUAGUAACUAUACACCUAGCUUUUGAGUGUCCCGCGGCGCCUGCCGUUUAAACCCCAUCUUUUAAUGGUUGACCUCGGAUCAGGUAGGAAUACCCGCUGAACUUAAGCAUAUCAAUAAGCGGAGGA